Non-coding RNA from Vicia faba (fava bean), 309 nucleotides. The record is from the annotation of a GenBank genome assembly. Lineage: Eukaryota; Viridiplantae; Streptophyta; Magnoliopsida; Fabales; Fabaceae.
AUGGAAGAAAAAACCACCAAAAUCUCAGAAGUUCCUCCUCUCCGCACUCUCUCUGAAUCAAUUCUUUGCACCUGUUUCACAACCGUAAUCUUCUCCUACAAUUCGUACCAUCUUCAUCUCCCUCAAGGGACCUUUGAUCUUUUUUGGCAACAAAAAAGAACAUCUCACCUUCAAUCUGCAAAUUUGAUGCACAAUAAGGCUGCAACAACUCAGAAAUCUAAGCAAAGAGAUGUAGAAGGAGAGGAUAGAGCCGAGAGAGGAAGAGAAACUCAAUACUUGAAACUGACACCGAAUCGAAGCAGUGUGUGA